This 21073-nucleotide long non-coding RNA is filed under the name Daucus carota (carrot). RNAcentral describes it as "long non-coding RNA (DCAR_LNC001441)". Lineage: Eukaryota; Viridiplantae; Streptophyta; Magnoliopsida; Apiales; Apiaceae. The record is from RNAcentral.
AGUAGCACCGGUCACCCGUGCCUCCCCUGCUCAGGCUAGCAUGGUCGCGCCUUUCACCGGCCUCAAGUCCAUCGCAUCAUUCCCCGUCACCCGAAAGCUCGAGAAUGACAUUACCUCUAUUACCAGCAAUGGAGGAAGAGUUCAAUGCAUGAAGGUAUAUAUCUAUACUACUUAAUACUCAUAUAUAUAGUAUGUGCUCAUGCGGAUCUAGUAUAACAUGACAGAACAUUCUUAAUUACUUAUUGCUCUCAAAGUAGCAUAGCUUUGGAAUUUUCCUUGGAUAUGUGAAUAAUUUACAAAAAUUAUGAUUCACAGAAAUCAUGUGUGUGUCAAUGUGUGAGGACCUAAGCAUUCGCCCCUGAAGUGAAGUAGAUUUUAAUUCAAUAAUGAAAUUGAAUUGUACCUUAAUUAGCUUGCUCUCAGUGAGACAGUAACCCCACUCACAGUCUCACUAAAUAGUCGGUAAUGUAUAUUCUUAUAAAGACAUGGUCACGUUCUUCAAAUUUUGCAAUGCAAUACUGUUUCUAAAAAAAGUAUCAAGGAGAACACACCUUGGUUCUGAAAGUGAAUAAGAAAUUAGUUAGCUAACAUAUGUGAAUGGUGCAAGCGCAGGUAUGGCCACCAAUUAACAUGAAGAAGUUCGAGACACUCUCGUACCUUCCUCCUCUCACCACCGAACAAUUGGCAAAGGAGGUCGACUACCUUCUCCGUUCCGGAUGGGUUCCUUGUCUGGAAUUCGAGUUGGAGGUAACCACUUUCUUCCUACACAUUUUUCAUGUUCUCUGUUACAUGUUUCUUGACAUUGCUGAUGACAAUUGUGUGUUAAACCGAAAUGUAGCACGGUUUCGUGUACCGUGAGCACAACAAAUCCCCCGGAUACUAUGACGGACGAUACUGGGUUAUGUGGAAGCUUCCCAUGUUCGGGUGCACCGACUCAUCGCAGGUGUUGAAGGAGCUUGAUGAGUGCGUCAAGGAGUACCCCCAGGCCUACGUCCGUAUCAUCGGAUUCGACAACGUUCGCCAAGUCCAGUGCAUCAGUUUCAUUGCUCACCAGCCAGAAUGCUGAUCAAUCUGUCUGUUGAUUUCAUAUAUUUAUCUAUCUUGUUCGGCUCAUAUAUAAACUUCUUGCAAUUUCAUUUCAUUCCUUUCAGUUUUAAAUUUCUCACUUGUAUCUCCAACACAAGGAAAUUUGAACUAUAGAGGAUUAUAUGUAGCGACUGUUGGUGAUUAUAUAUAUCUACUUGUUUGUUUUCCCUGCACCUUCUAAAUACUUGCAUCAUAUGCUUUCAUGUCGUGAUGUACUUUUUUAUAUAUCUCCGAUUCUCCAUGCAGUAAUUAAGCGUGCACUGCAUCAAAAUAACAAGAAACCAUCUACAAGGAGCUUUAGUCUUUAGAUGAACAAAACGAAUACUUUCAUAACUGCAUAUACCAAAACGGCAAAACAUGUAUUAGAAUUCCAACAAAGCUGAUAAGCUUCAACAAAAUUGCAACAUCUGCUAAUGCUACAAGAAACCUAUACAGAUGGACGCAAUCAAAAUCUUAAAGUAAGCAUAUAUACAAACAUUGUGUACUUUACUUAUUAGUACUAUAUCUCUCUAACUGGGAACCCGUUUGUCUGAGCUUAUGGCUUAUGAUUUAUCGUGACUUAUUACUUAACGUGAUUUAUUUGAUAAGCUGAGAGUUUAAAAUGUCUGUUUGGUAAUUUUGACGUAUUAAUGACUUAUGAGUUAUUAAAAAUACAAUAACAACAAUAAAAGUGAUUUAUGAGUAAUUUAUAACUUAGGAGUAAUUUUUUUCAAAAAAAAAAUUCAAUAAAAUUAGCCACUGAAAAAAGUAUCUCAAAUUAACUUCUGGCUUUAAAUCAGCUUCUAGCUUAUUUCUGAUUUUAAGCCGACUUCUGACUUAUUACACAAACAGACAUUUUUCAGCUUAAAGUCAGAGAUAACUUAAAGUCCGGGCUUUAAGCCCAGACAAACAAGCUCUAGGUGGCAAGCUCUGGAUCUUCUUAGUUAGUUGAGUUAAUUAGUUGGGAAUGUUGUUAAUGUGUUUGAUAAUCCAACCUCCCCUCCCAAAUCCACCGUCGCCUCUUCUUUUCUCAUCUUUUUAGCCUUCUUUUUCAAAUUUAACAGAGCUUGAAUGAUACUCGCGACCACACUUUCGCACUCCAGUCAACUUCGGAAUGUUUGCUUUUGCGCAAUUAUUGUACUGCUUCCCUCCAUUUAUCUACCUUUAACGUAUUUUUAAUAUUUAAAUUAGAAAAUUUAAUAAAUUUCUUAAAUAACGAAGCAUAUUAUCUUACUUGCAUGAAGGUAAAUCAUACGUUCUUGUAAAUUUAAUGGUAUAAUUUAGAAAUUGGAGUUUAGAAGUACUAGAGUCAUGUAUUUUACCUGAUGGUCUCGUAUGUAAGAGCAACUCUAAUGGGGUGCCAAAAAGAGUGUCAAAGUGCCAUGUGGCAUGACGUGGCAUGACACUCUUGUUGACUCUCCAUUGGAAUGGAAGGGGUGUCAAGUAAAGUUGUCAAUUUUUGGCACCCUCCUAAAAUGAAAAGAAGUGUAUAUAUCACCCUAAAGCAUAUAGUUCCCUAUCUUUUUAUACUUAUAUUUGUAUUUUGUUUGGUUUAUAUAAAAAAAAUUAUAUUGUACAAUUAUGUGGCAACUUUGGUUGCCAACCAUUGGAGCAAAUUUUUACAAAUAAAGAGAGAGAAGAUAAAAUAAUACUACCUCCAUCCCAAAUUAGAUGUCCCCGUUGACUUUGUUCACGUAACUUUAGGUGCAUUGACCGUCUACUUCCGAAAUUUAUUUUUUUAUUUUUUCUUUUAUAAAUGAAAAUUUCAUAUUUUAAUUUUUAUUUGCAAAAAUAAAAUUUUAAAAAUGAUUUACGUAUCUAUGCGGUUAAUUAACCUUAAAUUGUGUGCUCAAAGUCAACAGAGUCAUCUAAUUUGGAAUGGAGGGAGUAAUACUUUUGAUGAUGUGUCAUUUUAAGCAACUUUAGUUGGCACCCCCAUUGGAGAUGCUUUAACUGUGUUUACACGUGGGUUUUGCUGCUUACAGAGUUACAGUUACAGCUCAUAUAACAUACUCCCGCCAUUUCACAUGUGACUUCAUCUUUUGACUAGGGUUUUGAUAUCCCAGCUUGCAUGAUUUGUGUCCAUCGGUUGCUCAGCUGAGACGAUCUUAGUGCUAUCUUAUCGAACACUCCGUGAAUCGGAGUUAGUCAGUGGAAAAUCAUGGAUUAAUCAGAUAAUCGGAGAUUAAUCGGUCCAAUAAUCGGAGUCAAUUUAAUAUUUUUUUAAUAUAUUAUAAAUUUAUAAUUUUAUAUAAUCAAAAUAGCAAAUAUUUUUAUACCUCAAACUAGGACUUUAAAAUGAUCUGGGCGAUAAUGAGUACCCAUCUCCUCAAGUAUCGGAUCAUAUUAUUUUUAGUUUGCCCAGAUUUGGGUCUGAGAUUAUUUUAUUCGGAUAUAAACCGAUCCCGGAUAUUUGAGAUCCAGAUCUAAACCGAAUAUGAUCCAAUAUCGUAUUUUCUACUUUUUAAUCGGGUAGUUUAUGAUCCGUUAAAUAUGAGCCUGAUAUGAUCCACUAAUAUUAAAUAUCAUUAUUAUUUCAAUUAUUCAAAUAAUUAUUAUUUAAUCUAAGUAAACAUACUAUUAUAAAUUAUAAUAAUUUAAAUUAAAACUUAUAAUUAUAUGUUGGUAUAUAUAUAUAUUUGAAGAUAUUUAGCAUUAUCACAUUAAAUAAAUCAUAUUUUACGAAGAUAUAAACUUAAAUAAGAUAUUAAAAUUUUAUAAAAUGAUGACUAUUUAAUUACAAAUGUGAUGUAUUUAAAAUAUAAUAUGUACAUUAGUUCGAAUCGAAUAUGAACCUUGAUUCAUAUUCGGGUAUUUGGGCAGGAUCAUAUUAUGAAUAAUUACAUGAGACCGAAUCUGAGCGGGUAUAACUGUGCUCAUAUCCGGGAUCAUAUAUUAUACGGGCUUAAUUUUUCCGCCAGAUUUGGAUCGUUUCCAAACGGAUAUGAGACAUUUAUCAUAUUUUCGAGCCGGAUUUAAGUCUAGACACCGUAUAAUCCAUAUCGAUUUACAGCCUACCUCAAACAAAUACACACACAUGUAUAUAUAUUAGCACAAACAAAAAUAUAUAUUUGUAAGUAUUUUACAUAAUUCCACGACAUAAUUUAAUAAAAAAUUGUAUCUUUAUACAUAAUUAUAUUUCCAAGUACAAUUUUUCAUAAUCGUUAAAACUGUAAUUGAAUAAUUUUCAUAUUUUUUUGAAUUUUUUAUAAAUUUGAACUAAUAGUUUUUAAUAAAAAAUAAAAAUUAAUUUUUUAAAUAUUGGACCAAAUUUUGACCAAUUUUGCCGACUUUUGACCGAUUUUACCAACUUUUAACCGAUUUUUACCGACUUUUUAAAAAAACAGUUUUUUACCCGAUUAACGAUUAAUCGAGAAGUUUUUUGUCUGAAUAGCGAUUAAUCCCUAACUAAUCGCAGACUUUUAGGACACUGCUUCCCGUAUUUAAUCCGAAAUUGAUGAGACAUUUAUUCCCACAAGAAACAAUAGAUAUCAUGAUGAGAAAAUGUCAACAAAAUACUCCCUCCGUUUUAAUUUACAUGUCCACUUUGUAAAAAAAGUUAUGUUUCAAAUUACUUGUCCACUUCAACUUUCAAUGCAAAAUCAUAUUUCCAAAGUCAAUUAUACUCCACAUAUCUCGUAUUUAUAUUUCCUACAUCAAUCUCACUCCACAUGUUAUGGUCAUUUAAUAGAAUUAAUUUGUGAACAACCACUUUUCUUAAACUGUGUGAUUUUUUGAAAGUGGACAUCUAUUUUGAAACGGAGGGAGUACAAUUUAUACCGAGAAUCGCAAGGAGUAUUUUAAUAAAUAUGCCGAUCUUAAUUACUCCCUUUGUCCCUCUUUAUCUCUCCACUUUGGAAGUAAAAAUUUGUCCCUAUUUAUCUGUCCAUUUAUACUUUUAAAACUAAUUUAAUGAUAGUUUUUCAAAUAUAUCUCCAUAAUUUCAAUUUUCAAGACUUGACUUAUUUAAAACUUAGUUGAAUUCAUGUUUUCAAGACAUAAAGUAGGGGUAUUCCACCAUUUUCAAGAUAUUAAUUAGAGGUAUUUAAUAAAAAAGUUUAUACAAUUAAUUAUUCCUUGGUAUGUGUUUUUUUUUCUCAAAAUGGACAGAUAAAAAGGGACGGAGGGAGUAACUUAUAGACACAACGUGCAGAAGAAUCCUAAAAUCUAAAAACACCACAUUUUCUAGUGUCUUGCACAUAUUUUAGGUUCUGUAAAUAGAAUUUUGAGCAAAAUCCCCUUAAUACAUAAUUGAAUAAAGACCCCUCCUAGAGAUCAACUCUGCCGGCGGAACUAGGGAAGAAACCUUAGUUCAGUCAUAAAGAUUUAUUUUUAUUUUUUUCAGAUUUUUUUAUUUGAUCUCUGGGAAAUAACAGUGAAGCAAUAACAUAUUUAUUAUGCAAAUUUUAAUUCCAGAUACGAUUCCUGUCAUUGACUAACAGGCCAAAGUCAUUUUCUUAAUGGGCUCUAUUUUCUUGACCAAAAUCAUUUUGUUUCCCCUACUAUCUUCCCUAAGCCCAUGUAUUUAAAUUUCAAUUACGCCCAACCACUAGCCCAGAGUAGUUGGGCCAUAAGUUAACCGUCCAACGUCAAAAUGAAUCAUAGGUUAAUUGAUUUUUAUUCAUAAAAACUGUAUGUACGUGAAUCCAGGGCAGAGGACGGAAGAUAAGAGCAAGUCCAACAGCUGCCCUAUUUAGUGUCCUAAGUCAUAAUAUAGGGCAUUUGAUGAAAAAACUUGAUCCAACAAUGUCCUAGUGAUGCCCUAUAUCACUAGGACAACCCAUUCAAGCCCUAUUUUUGAGGCACUCUCUCUCCUUGCCUUAUCUCAUAUUUUAUAAUAAAUUCUUACCAACACUCUCUUUCUCUCUCUAUUUUAUAUUAUGUUUUAAUGAUGAAAGAGAACUUUUAAUAAUAAAAUAUUAAACAUAUAGUGAAAAUAAGGCACAUUGUUGGAGUUGAAGUUAGUAUAAUAUGUCCUAGACUACUAGGACAUAAUUUUUUAUAUUACAUUUUGGGUUCAAACUAGGACACUGUUGGACUUGCUCUAAGUACAUAACUCAUUAUUUGGGUUAUGGGACUCAUUAUUUGAGACACUGUUGGAAUUAUAGUCUGGGUUACUUGUUAAAGUCUAACAUCACAAGUUAUUGUUCUUAAAAUUAUUAGGAAACCAGGAUUGAAGCUCAAAAUUAUCACCACUACAUCCUCCUUUCUUCGUCCCUUUUUACUUGUCACAUUGUUAUUUUUGUUGGUCAAAUUGACUAACUUUUGACCAAAGAUUAAUUACUACUCUUUCAAUAUUUUGAAAAAAUAAAAAUUAUAUCUUAAAGUAGAUUAAAAGUUAUUUCCGAUAACAUAUUUUUUUUUUUCAAUUGAUAAAAUAUUAAUAAAUUUCAGUCAAAUUUUGGUCAAUUUGACCUGCACAAAACCAAAUGUGACAACGAAAAUAGGACGGAUGGAGUAUUUCGUGGUGAAACAAAUUUGGCCUAAAUGACAGUCUUAGGGGGUGUUUAUACCGUUAUAAACGCCUUAAGACAAAAUGACUGUCUUAGGGGGUGUUUGUUUCCGGCUUAAAAGUGGUUUAUAAGUCAGAAGCACUUAUUCGUAUUGUUUGUAAAAGUCAAGAAGCAUUUAUAAAAAGCUAGGAAUGCUAACUUUUGUUUUAAGGCUUCCGUUUCUUUCCCAAACACUUUAAGCACUUAUAAGUCUUAACUUGGUUUUAACUUCUACUCCACUUUUUUAUUUCAAUCAAGAAUCACUUAUUUUAAACUCACCCAAACGGCCCCUUAAUAUGGGAUUACUACAUUUUGGACCACGAACACUGUUUGAACUAUGUGAUAUAGUUUCUUUACUAAGCCGUACUCCUUCAGUCCCAUCCAUUUCUUUACACUUUCCUCUUUUGGAUGUCCCACCCAAUUCUAUACAUUUCAAAACUUACCAAAAAUAGUCAAUGAGUCCCACCACUUCUACAUUUUUCUUUCCUUUUCACAUUACUUUAACUCCACUAUCUUCUUUUUAUACAUUAAAAAUCGAUGGAUCCACCACUUUACCUACUUUUCUCCCUCUUUUCCACUACUUUAUACAUAUUUUUUAACCUCCGUGCCCAACCCAUUCGAUAAGAAAUGGGUGGGACGGAGGGAGUACUACAAACUCUAGAACUGGAAGGACUAUGGGCCACUUAAAUGCAGCAUAUAUCUUGCAAUUUGAGCAAAAUAAUGGAGCAAAUUCCGAAUGCAAUCUAUCCAUACAUUACACUCAAGUGUGAACUAAGGGAAAGAACAAUCCGUAUAUUUUAAGGAUUCUAGUUCCUGGCAUGUGUAUGAUUUUGUUGGAUGAUAAAUGCAUCCAACGGCAUGAUUAUAACAAAAAUUCCUCAUGUCAGAAUGUUUUAUUUUUCUGCAUAUGAUAUGAAACUUGAAUAAUAAGAGGAAGGGGGAAAGUGAUGCAACUGCAAUUGAAGAAGUCAGUAGUCACUUAUUUAAAUUUCAAAGUACAAAGCCCAAAUAAGCAAUUUCCAAAGAGCUAAGCAAUGAAGGGCCAAGAAAUGGCUAGCUACUGCUAAAGAAAGCAAGUCCUCAUUCCUUGAUCAGAAGAGAUAAGGCAACCGCUCUCAUGCCACGUGUCAACUCAAUAAGAGUGUUUAAUGAUAAGGCAACCAAUCCAAAUUGCUCACACUGUGUGGCUACCAUGUUGCCUUGUCAACUUCACUGUAAUUCAAUGGUCAGAAAAAUUCUGAACUUUAGGAGGUGAAUUGGGAACCAUUGGAUCAGCAGGUUAAACGAUAAUGAGAUGAAAUGCCUAUAUAUUGGAUAGGUGAAGGAACAGAAGCAAGCCUCUCAAACACAAGAGAAGAAAGUAAAAGAACAAGAAGAGAGUAUUAGUACUCAUGGCUUCUUCAAUGAUAUCAUCAGUAGCACCGGUUACCCGUGCAUCCCCUGCUCAGGCUAACAUGGUCGCGCCUUUCACCGGCCUCAAGUCCAUCGCAUCAUUCCCCGUCACCCGAAAGCUUGAGAAUGACAUUACCUCUAUUACCAGCAACGGAGGAAGAGUUCAAUGCAUGAAGGUAUAUAUCUAUACUACUUAAUACUCAGAUAUAUUAUGUGCUAAUGAGGAACCAGUAUAACAUGGCAGAACAUUUCUUAGUUAGUUAUUGCUCAUUUGCUCUCAAAGUAGCACAAUUCUAAGUCAGAUAAAGCAGUCCUAGGUAACUUUAGAGUGAGUAACUUCAGAAUUUUCCUUGAAUAUGUCAAUAAUAUACAAAAAUUAUGUCAACACCUCGAUUAAAAGAUUGUUUUGCUUGUAUUUUCCUCCUGAGCUGAUCUGAGAAAUUUUGUUCUCAAGUCAAACAAUUAGAGACUUUAGCUCAAGAGAAAUGUCACCCCCUGGCAUUGUAGCCUGCGGGAUGUCCUCUAUAUUUUACCAUAGUAACCAUGUCGCCCCUCAAGUGAAGUAGAAUUUAAUUCAAUAAUGAAAUUGAACUACCCAGUAGAGGAAAUUUCUAGUUUUUUUGUAUAAUUUCCACCUUAGCUUGCUCUUAGUAACCCCCCUCAGUCUCAUUAAAUAGUCGGAAAUGUAUAUUCUUAUGAAGACAUGAUCACGUUCUUCAAAUUUUGCAAUCCAACACUGUUUCUAGACAAAUAUACAAUCUGUCGGUUUGUAAUUGAGUAAAUAUGACAUUCACAAAAUAUAUCAAGGAGAACACACCUUGGUUCUGAAAGUGAAUGAUAAAUUAGUUAGGUAACAUAUGUGAAUGGUGCAAGUGCAGGUAUGGCCACCAAUUAACAUGAAGAAGUUCGAGACACUCUCAUACCUUCCUCCUCUCACCACCGAACAAUUGGCAAAGGAGGUCGACUACCUUCUCCGUUCCGGAUGGGUUCCUUGUCUGGAAUUCGAGUUGGAGGUAAGCACUUUCUUCCUACACAUUUUUCAUGUUCUCUGUUACAUGUUUCUUGACAUUGCUGAUGACAAUUGUGUGUUAAACCAAUAUGCAGCACGGUUUCGUGUACCGUGAGCACAACAAAUCUCCCGGAUACUAUGACGGACGAUACUGGGUUAUGUGGAAGCUUCCCAUGUUCGGGUGCACCGACUCAUCGCAGGUGUUGAAGGAGCUUGAUGAGUGCGUCAAGGAGUACCCCCAGGCGUACGUCCGUAUCAUCGGAUUCGACAACGUUCGCCAAGUCCAGUGCAUCAGUUUCAUUGCUCACCAGCCAGAAUGCUGAUCAAUCUGUCUGUUGAUUUCAUAUAUUUAUCAAUCUUGUUCGGCUCAUAUAUAAACUUCUUGCAAUCUCAUUUCAUUUCUUUCCGUUUUAAAUUUCUUACUUGUAUCUCCAACACAAGGAAAUUGGAACUAUAGAGGAUUAUAUGUAGCGAUUGUUGGUGAUUAUAUAUAUCUACUUGUUUGUUUUCCCUGCACCUUCUAAAUACUUGCAUCAUAUGCUUUCAUGUCGUGAUGUACUUUUUUAUAUAUCUCCGAUUCUCCAUGCAGUAAUUAACCACUACGGUCUUUUUACACCAACAAAUUAUAUGAUAACAUAUAGAAACAGUUCAUUGCUUCCGUAAUAUCUGCCUUGGUACAUGUUCUCUUGUAUCACUACAAAACCUUUCACGUCCAACAAUGUGAAAGCAAAUUCUCUGUAAUAGAAAUGGACAUCUGCUAGCGACAUUUCAGAUAAUAAUAAAGUGUACUUAUGCACCAUCUGGUUGGAAGGAAUGAACGGGAAAAACAUGAACAAAAUCAAAGGUAAACGAGAAGUAUACAAGAGUGAAGAGUGAUGAAGAACUAGAAAGUGCAGACUUUAUUAUGAGUUUCACAAUAUAAUGAGUAAAAUAUAGGAAUGAUCAUUUAUCCCUAUAUUGGUAAGAUUGAGAUAUUAGUUUUUUUUUGUGUGCCAAACUAGUACAAAUUUCAUUUCAUUCUCCCUAAACGUAAUUCUUCCAACAAAAUGGGGCAUUACAUAAAGGUAUAAAGAUGAGGAGAUUAAAGAUUGACAGCUGCGAUAAGGGAAGGUAUGGAAAACAUGUGUAACUAUAUAAAUGUCGAACACCAAUAAGAUCCAAAUAACUCAGAUAACAUCCAAACUCAGUAACAAAUUGGUUAACAGAUAAAAUUCAGAAGCGAAUGCAAAAUAGUUUAUAAAAUUAGAUUCUAAGAUUCAAAAUUUCUAGUAUUCAGAUUAUAUGCAGAUGAAAGAGGAAGGGAGAUUUAUUGAAUAAUUUAGGCUUGACAAAACACAAUAAAAUGAUACACAUAGACUAGUAUACUCUAAUACUUAAUGAGCAGCAUAUAUUCUUAUUCUUAACUACCGUCUAUUCUAUUAUAUCAAAGAAACAUAAAUUAUUGCAAAGCUGUAAAUUCACAUUAAGAAGCUUAAACAAAUUACACAACUAGAAAUCAACCACUCAAAUUGGAUAUAAUUGGAUAAAUAUCUAAAGAGAUCAUAACUAAGAACCCUAAUUUCAAAGUUAUAAAUGUAUGUAUAUAAAUGAUUCAAAAAUCAGAACUCUGUAACACAAAAAAGCUAGCUGAACUGAGAUGAAGUAGAAAGCAGCAACAAAACAUUUAUGAAUUAAAUAUCUAAAGCUGAUCUAAUUACAAACAUCAACUCACAGUUAUCAAGAGGGGUGUAUUGGAUUGGGAUUUUAAAUCAUUUUUUUGCAUUCAUGAAAUCCGAGGGUAUUCGAUUGAGAUUAUUUGAAAUGCAUUAAAAUCUUGGGGUAUUCAAUUGGGAUUUUGAAUUAUGCUACAAAAUCUGGUGGUAUUCAAUUGGGAUUUUAAAUUAUGCUUUAAAAUCCGGUGGUAUUCAAUUCGGAUUGUUUAAAAUCCAUUAAAAUCUGAUGGUAUUCAAAUGUUGUCGGAUUUUUUUUCAUUUCAUAAAAUGGUGGAUUUUGUGGCAUUGUUCGAUGUAUUUUAAGUUUUAUGAAAUCCCACCAAAAUCAAUGGGAUUUUGAAGCAUUGUGCUUAAAUCCUAUCAACUCUGCGACAUUUCAUCAAGAAUCCGCACAAAAUCAAAAUCACAUGCAAUCCAUUAAAAUCCAUAGACUAAAAACAAUCCAUUAAAAUCUCAAUCGAAUACACCCCCGCAAUUUAUUAAUCAGAUGAGAGGAAGGAAGGGAGAGGGUCAGAGGGAGAGGGAGAGGGAGAGAGAGAGAGAGAGAGGAGUUACAGUGCUACGGCGACGUUCAGCGGCGAUGGAGAAGCCAAAAGCGACCAAGCAUAGUAUUAUUACAAGAAGAUGAACGAGAGAUGAGCCUUUCCCUGCCCCCAUUAUUGUUUCUAAGGGCAUCUUUGAUCACAAUUUCAAGCUUCAUAUUUUUUUCACUUUUAAUUUUAUAGAUAGAUUAAUCAAUCUCCAAUCAUCCAUUUAUCUUCCUAUGUAAAGUCAUUUACUAGAUAAAUUAUAUUAUUUUAUAAAAAAAAAUUAAAUAACGAAAUAUAUGAUCUUUCUCGGAUGAAGAUAACUUGCAAAUUUAAUGGUAUAGUUUAGAAAUUGGGGUUGAGAAGUACCAGUAGUUAUGCUAUAUUUACCUGAUGAUCUCGUAUCGUAACUUUUUUUACACGUGGGAUUUUUUUGCUUACAGCUCAUACUCUAUAACACACUUCCGCCAUUUCACAUGUGACUUCAUCUUUUGACCAGGGUUCUGUAAAUAGAAUUUUGAGCAAGAUCCCCUUAAUACAUAACUGAAUAAACAACACUCGUAGAGAUGAAUUCUGCUGGCGGAACUAGGGAAGAAACCCUAGCUUAGUCAAAGUUUUUUUUUUCUUCCAGAUAUUUGUUUUUUUUCAGAUAUUUUUUUAUUUGAGCUCUUAAAAAUAACAGUGAACCAAUAAAAAGUAUUUAUUGUGCAAAUUUUAAUUCUAGAUUAUUUUGAUUCAUGUCAUAUUGUCAUUGACUAACAGGCCAAAGUCAUUUUGUUAAUGGGCUCUAUUUUCUUGACCAAAAUCAUACUGUUUCCCCUACUAUUAUCCUGAGCCCAUGUUUUCAAAUUUCAAUUACGCCCAACCACCAGUCCAGAGUAGUUGUUGUUGGGCCACAAGGUAACCAUCCAAUGUCUAAACUAAUCAUAGUCCAAAUAAAAUUUUUUCAUAAAAACUGCGUGUACGUGAAUCCAGGGCAGAGGACUGAACAUGACUCCACUUGAGUUGAGCAAGAAAACCGCAAUCAUAUAUCUUUGAUUUUUAAAAUUGAAAACCGCAACCGUCAAUCGGGGUCGGUUUCGGUUUCGGUUUAAGAAACUUCGAUUCGGUUAAUAGUCGGCUCGGUUUCGAUUACAAAAUCGACAAAUAUAAGAAUGAAAAAUAGUACACAAACGAGACAAAUUAAUGCACGUAAUCUAGACAUAAUAAUUAAUAUAAUAUUAAAAUUUAACAAAAGUAACCGUAUUUUAUUUAAAACACUCUUGCCAGUAAUAUAAAACUAGUCUUAGUCAGAAUUUUCAUACAGAAUACGAAUCAGAACUUCCGGCUGAUUGGCUUUUUUAACACAUGCUUCAUGAAGAUUGAGAAAAUGUGACAGGGAAAAUAGGAAAUACAGAUUGGCAGUGGCCAGUCAGCAUGAGAUAUUCACUGAACAUCAAAUAUUAACAUAGACGGAUGUUUCUGUAAGUGUUAGAAUAGAUUUAUUAUAUUUAUUACAUAUUACAUAUAUUAUUUAUUAUUAUUUUAAUAACCGGUUCCGUUUGGUUUUUAUUGGUUCGGUUGGGAGGUAUAACCGGAACCAAACCGUUUAAAUCAGAUCAAUUUUUAAUUUUUCGGUUUCUAAUUGGUUUUUUUGAGUUUUUCCAAAUUUCGAUUCGUUUUGAUUUUAAAUCGGUUUUUUGCUAAGUCCUAAAUUAAGGUAUGGGUUCAAUUAUAGACAAGGUUAAGCUUACUUUUUAAAAAGUCUAACAUCACAAGUAAAUGGUUCACAAGUAAAUGGUCUUAAAACUAUAAAGAAACCAGGAUUGAAGCUCAAAAAUUAUCACCACUACACCCUUUUUUCGUGGUGCAACAAAUUUGGCCUAAAUCAAACGCAAAUCAAACGCAUUUAUACAAGACAAAUGACAGUCUUAAUAUAGGAUUACCCCAUUUUGGUUCAACCAUGAACACUGUUUGAACUAUGCGAUAGUUUCUUUACUAAAAUAUACUUCAGACUCUGGAACUGGAAGGACUAUGGGCCACUUAAAUGCAGCAUAUAUCUUGCAAUUUGAGCUCGAUAAUGGCAAAUUCCAAAUGCAAUCUAUCCACACAUUACACUCAAGUGCGAAAGAAUGAUCCAUGUAUUUUAAGGGUUUUGGUUCCUGGCAUGUGUACAUCAGGGAGUACUUAUAUAACAUACUGAUUUUGGAUCGUUGGAUGAUAUAUGCAUCUAACGGACAUAAUUAUAAAAAAAAUUCGUCAUGCUCAAUUUUUUUUUAUUUGUUUUUUUGCAUAUGAUAUGUAACUUGAAUAAUAAGAGGAAGGGGGAAAGUGAUGCAACUGCAAUUGAAGAAGUCAGUAGUCACUUAUUUAAAUUUCAAAGUACAAAGCCCAAAUAAGCAAUUUCCAAAGAGCUAAGCAAUGAAGGGCCAAGAAAUGGCUAGCUACUGCUAAAGAAAGCAAGUCCUCAUUCCUUGAUCAGAAGAGAUAAGGCAACCGCUCUCAUGCCACGUGUCAACUCAAUAAGAGUGUUUAAUGAUAAGGCAACCAAUCCAAAUUGCUCACACUGUGUGGCUACCAUGUUGCCUUGUCAACUUCACUGUAAUUCAAUGGUCAGAAAAAUUCUGAACUUUAGGAGGUGAAUUGGGAACCAUUGGAUCAGCAGGUUAAACGAUAAUGAGAUGAAAUGCCUAUAUAUUGGAUAGGUGAAGGAACAGAAGCAAGCCUCUCAAACACAAGAGAAGAAAGUAAAAGAACAAGAAGAGAGUAUUAGUACUCAUGGCUUCUUCAAUGAUAUCAUCAGUAGCACCGGUUACCCGUGCAUCCCCUGCUCAGGCUAACAUGGUCGCGCCUUUCACCGGCCUCAAGUCCAUCGCAUCAUUCCCCGUCACCCGAAAGCUUGAGAAUGACAUUACCUCUAUUACCAGCAACGGAGGAAGAGUUCAAUGCAUGAAGGUAUAUAUCUAUACUACUUAAUACUCAGAUAUAUUAUGUGCUAAUGAGGAACCAGUAUAACAUGGCAGAACAUUUCUUAGUUAGUUAUUGCUCAUUUGCUCUCAAAGUAGCACAAUUCUAAGUCAGAUAAAGCAGUCCUAGGUAACUUUAGAGUGAGUAACUUCAGAAUUUUCCUUGAAUAUGUCAAUAAUAUACAAAAAUUAUGUCAACACCUCGAUUAAAAGAUUGUUUUGCUUGUAUUUUCCUCCUGAGCUGAUCUGAGAAAUUUUGUUCUCAAGUCAAACAAUUAGAGACUUUAGCUCAAGAGAAAUGUCACCCCCUGGCAUUGUAGCCUGCGGGAUGUCCUCUAUAUUUUACCAUAGUAACCAUGUCGCCCCUCAAGUGAAGUAGAAUUUAAUUCAAUAAUGAAAUUGAACUACCCAGUAGAGGAAAUUUCUAGUUUUUUUGUAUAAUUUCCACCUUAGCUUGCUCUUAGUAACCCCCCUCAGUCUCAUUAAAUAGUCGGAAAUGUAUAUUCUUAUGAAGACAUGAUCACGUUCUUCAAAUUUUGCAAUCCAACACUGUUUCUAGACAAAUAUACAAUCUGUCGGUUUGUAAUUGAGUAAAUAUGACAUUCACAAAAUAUAUCAAGGAGAACACACCUUGGUUCUGAAAGUGAAUGAUAAAUUAGUUAGGUAACAUAUGUGAAUGGUGCAAGUGCAGGUAUGGCCACCAAUUAACAUGAAGAAGUUCGAGACACUCUCAUACCUUCCUCCUCUCACCACCGAACAAUUGGCAAAGGAGGUCGACUACCUUCUCCGUUCCGGAUGGGUUCCUUGUCUGGAAUUCGAGUUGGAGGUAAGCACUUUCUUCCUACACAUUUUUCAUGUUCUCUGUUACAUGUUUCUUGACAUUGCUGAUGACAAUUGUGUGUUAAACCAAUAUGCAGCACGGUUUCGUGUACCGUGAGCACAACAAAUCUCCCGGAUACUAUGACGGACGAUACUGGGUUAUGUGGAAGCUUCCCAUGUUCGGGUGCACCGACUCAUCGCAGGUGUUGAAGGAGCUUGAUGAGUGCGUCAAGGAGUACCCCCAGGCGUACGUCCGUAUCAUCGGAUUCGACAACGUUCGCCAAGUCCAGUGCAUCAGUUUCAUUGCUCACCAGCCAGAAUGCUGAUCAAUCUGUCUGUUGAUUUCAUAUAUUUAUCAAUCUUGUUCGGCUCAUAUAUAAACUUCUUGCAAUCUCAUUUCAUUUCUUUCCGUUUUAAAUUUCUUACUUGUAUCUCCAACACAAGGAAAUUGGAACUAUAGAGGAUUAUAUGUAGCGAUUGUUGGUGAUUAUAUAUAUCUACUUGUUUGUUUUCCCUGCACCUUCUAAAUACUUGCAUCAUAUGCUUUCAUGUCGUGAUGUACUUUUUUAUAUAUCUCCGAUUCUCCAUGCAGUAAUUAACCACUACGGUCUUUUUACACCAACAAAUUAUAUGAUAACAUAUAGAAACAGUUCAUUGCUUCCGUAAUAUCUGCCUUGGUACAUGUUCUCUUGUAUCACUACAAAACCUUUCACGUCCAACAAUGUGAAAGCAAAUUCUCUGUAAUAGAAAUGGACAUCUGCUAGCGACAUUUCAGAUAAUAAUAAAGUGUACUUAUGCACCAUCUGGUUGGAAGGAAUGAACGGGAAAAACAUGAACAAAAUCAAAGGUAAACGAGAAGUAUACAAGAGUGAAGAGUGAUGAAGAACUAGAAAGUGCAGACUUUAUUAUGAGUUUCACAAUAUAAUGAGUAAAAUAUAGGAAUGAUCAUUUAUCCCUAUAUUGGUAAGAUUGAGAUAUUAGUUUUUUUUUGUGUGCCAAACUAGUACAAAUUUCAUUUCAUUCUCCCUAAACGUAAUUCUUCCAACAAAAUGGGGCAUUACAUAAAGGUAUAAAGAUGAGGAGAUUAAAGAUUGACAGCUGCGAUAAGGGAAGGUAUGGAAAACAUGUGUAACUAUAUAAAUGUCGAACACCAAUAAGAUCCAAAUAACUCAGAUAACAUCCAAACUCAGUAACAAAUUGGUUAACAGAUAAAAUUCAGAAGCGAAUGCAAAAUAGUUUAUAAAAUUAGAUUCUAAGAUUCAAAAUUUCUAGUAUUCAGAUUAUAUGCAGAUGAAAGAGGAAGGGAGAUUUAUUGAAUAAUUUAGGCUUGACAAAACACAAUAAAAUGAUACACAUAGACUAGUAUACUCUAAUACUUAAUGAGCAGCAUAUAUUCUUAUUCUUAACUACCGUCUAUUCUAUUAUAUCAAAGAAACAUAAAUUAUUGCAAAGCUGUAAAUUCACAUUAAGAAGCUUAAACAAAUUACACAACUAGAAAUCAACCACUCAAAUUGGAUAUAAUUGGAUAAAUAUCUAAAGAGAUCAUAACUAAGAACCCUAAUUUCAAAGUUAUAAAUGUAUGUAUAUAAAUGAUUCAAAAAUCAGAACUCUGUAACACAAAAAAGCUAGCUGAACUGAGAUGAAGUAGAAAGCAGCAACAAAACAUUUAUGAAUUAAAUAUCUAAAGCUGAUCUAAUUACAAACAUCAACUCACAGUUAUCAAGAGGGGUGUAUUGGAUUGGGAUUUUAAAUCAUUUUUUUGCAUUCAUGAAAUCCGAGGGUAUUCGAUUGAGAUUAUUUGAAAUGCAUUAAAAUCUUGGGGUAUUCAAUUGGGAUUUUGAAUUAUGCUACAAAAUCUGGUGGUAUUCAAUUGGGAUUUUAAAUUAUGCUUUAAAAUCCGGUGGUAUUCAAUUCGGAUUGUUUAAAAUCCAUUAAAAUCUGAUGGUAUUCAAAUGUUGUCGGAUUUUUUUUCAUUUCAUAAAAUGGUGGAUUUUGUGGCAUUGUUCGAUGUAUUUUAAGUUUUAUGAAAUCCCACCAAAAUCAAUGGGAUUUUGAAGCAUUGUGCUUAAAUCCUAUCAACUCUGCGACAUUUCAUCAAGAAUCCGCACAAAAUCAAAAUCACAUGCAAUCCAUUAAAAUCCAUAGACUAAAAACAAUCCAUUAAAAUCUCAAUCGAAUACACCCCCGCAAUUUAUUAAUCAGAUGAGAGGAAGGAAGGGAGAGGGUCAGAGGGAGAGGGAGAGGGAGAGAGAGAGAGAGAGAGGAGUUACAGUGCUACGGCGACGUUCAGCGGCGAUGGAGAAGCCAAAAGCGACCAAGCAUAGUAUUAUUACAAGAAGAUGAACGAGAGAUGAGCCUUUCCCUGCCCCCAUUAUUGUUUCUAAGGGCAUCUUUGAUCACAAUUUCAAGCUUCAUAUUUUUUUCACUUUUAAUUUUAUAGAUAGAUUAAUCAAUCUCCAAUCAUCCAUUUAUCUUCCUAUGUAAAGUCAUUUACUAGAUAAAUUAUAUUAUUUUAUAAAAAAAAAUUAAAUAACGAAAUAUAUGAUCUUUCUCGGAUGAAGAUAACUUGCAAAUUUAAUGGUAUAGUUUAGAAAUUGGGGUUGAGAAGUACCAGUAGUUAUGCUAUAUUUACCUGAUGAUCUCGUAUCGUAACUUUUUUUACACGUGGGAUUUUUUUGCUUACAGCUCAUACUCUAUAACACACUUCCGCCAUUUCACAUGUGACUUCAUCUUUUGACCAGGGUUCUGUAAAUAGAAUUUUGAGCAAGAUCCCCUUAAUACAUAACUGAAUAAACAACACUCGUAGAGAUGAAUUCUGCUGGCGGAACUAGGGAAGAAACCCUAGCUUAGUCAAAGUUUUUUUUUUCUUCCAGAUAUUUGUUUUUUUUCAGAUAUUUUUUUAUUUGAGCUCUUAAAAAUAACAGUGAACCAAUAAAAAGUAUUUAUUGUGCAAAUUUUAAUUCUAGAUUAUUUUGAUUCAUGUCAUAUUGUCAUUGACUAACAGGCCAAAGUCAUUUUGUUAAUGGGCUCUAUUUUCUUGACCAAAAUCAUACUGUUUCCCCUACUAUUAUCCUGAGCCCAUGUUUUCAAAUUUCAAUUACGCCCAACCACCAGUCCAGAGUAGUUGUUGUUGGGCCACAAGGUAACCAUCCAAUGUCUAAACUAAUCAUAGUCCAAAUAAAAUUUUUUCAUAAAAACUGCGUGUACGUGAAUCCAGGGCAGAGGACUGAACAUGACUCCACUUGAGUUGAGCAAGAAAACCGCAAUCAUAUAUCUUUGAUUUUUAAAAUUGAAAACCGCAACCGUCAAUCGGGGUCGGUUUCGGUUUCGGUUUAAGAAACUUCGAUUCGGUUAAUAGUCGGCUCGGUUUCGAUUACAAAAUCGACAAAUAUAAGAAUGAAAAAUAGUACACAAACGAGACAAAUUAAUGCACGUAAUCUAGACAUAAUAAUUAAUAUAAUAUUAAAAUUUAACAAAAGUAACCGUAUUUUAUUUAAAACACUCUUGCCAGUAAUAUAAAACUAGUCUUAGUCAGAAUUUUCAUACAGAAUACGAAUCAGAACUUCCGGCUGAUUGGCUUUUUUAACACAUGCUUCAUGAAGAUUGAGAAAAUGUGACAGGGAAAAUAGGAAAUACAGAUUGGCAGUGGCCAGUCAGCAUGAGAUAUUCACUGAACAUCAAAUAUUAACAUAGACGGAUGUUUCUGUAAGUGUUAGAAUAGAUUUAUUAUAUUUAUUACAUAUUACAUAUAUUAUUUAUUAUUAUUUUAAUAACCGGUUCCGUUUGGUUUUUAUUGGUUCGGUUGGGAGGUAUAACCGGAACCAAACCGUUUAAAUCAGAUCAAUUUUUAAUUUUUCGGUUUCUAAUUGGUUUUUUUGAGUUUUUCCAAAUUUCGAUUCGUUUUGAUUUUAAAUCGGUUUUUUGCUAAGUCCUAAAUUAAGGUAUGGGUUCAAUUAUAGACAAGGUUAAGCUUACUUUUUAAAAAGUCUAACAUCACAAGUAAAUGGUUCACAAGUAAAUGGUCUUAAAACUAUAAAGAAACCAGGAUUGAAGCUCAAAAAUUAUCACCACUACACCCUUUUUUCGUGGUGCAACAAAUUUGGCCUAAAUCAAACGCAAAUCAAACGCAUUUAUACAAGACAAAUGACAGUCUUAAUAUAGGAUUACCCCAUUUUGGUUCAACCAUGAACACUGUUUGAACUAUGCGAUAGUUUCUUUACUAAAAUAUACUUCAGACUCUGGAACUGGAAGGACUAUGGGCCACUUAAAUGCAGCAUAUAUCUUGCAAUUUGAGCUCGAUAAUGGCAAAUUCCAAAUGCAAUCUAUCCACACAUUACACUCAAGUGCGAAAGAAUGAUCCAUGUAUUUUAAGGGUUUUGGUUCCUGGCAUGUGUACAUCAGGGAGUACUUAUAUAACAUACUGAUUUUGGAUCGUUGGAUGAUAUAUGCAUCUAACGGACAUAAUUAUAAAAAAAAUUCGUCAUGCUCAAUUUUUUUUUAUUUGUUUUUUUGCAUAUGAUAUGUAACUUGAAUAAUAAGAGGAAGGGGGAAAGUGAUGCAACUGCAAUUGAAGAAGUCAGUAGUCACUUAUUUAAAUUUCAAAGUACAAAGCCCAAAUAAGCAAUUUCCAAAGAGCUAAGCAAUGAAGGGCCAAGAAAUGGCUAGCUACUGCUAAAGAAAGCAAGUCCUCAUUCCUUGAUCAGAAGAGAUAAGGCAACCGCUCUCAUGCCACGUGUCAACUCAAUAAGAGUGUUUAAUGAUAAGGCAACCAAUCCAAAUUGCUCACACUGUGUGGCUACCAUGUUGCCUUGUCAACUUCACUGUAAUUCAAUGGUCAGAAAAAUUCUGAACUUUAGGAGGUGAAUUGGGAACCAUUGGAUCAGCAGGUUAAACGAUAAUGAGAUGAAAUGCCUAUAUAUUGGAUAGGUGAAGGAACAGAAGCAAGCCUCUCAAACACAAGAGAAGAAAGUAAAAGAACAAGAAGAGAGUAUUAGUACUCAUGGCUUCUUCAAUGAUAUCAUCAGUAGCACCGGUUACCCGUGCAUCCCCUGCUCAGGCUAACAUGGUCGCGCCUUUCACCGGCCUCAAGUCCAUCGCAUCAUUCCCCGUCACCCGAAAGCUUGAGAAUGACAUUACCUCUAUUACCAGCAACGGAGGAAGAGUUCAAUGCAUGAAGGUAUAUAUCUAUACUACUUAAUACUCAGAUAUAUUAUGUGCUAAUGAGGAACCAGUAUAACAUGGCAGAACAUUUCUUAGUUAGUUAUUGCUCAUUUGCUCUCAAAGUAGCACAAUUCUAAGUCAGAUAAAGCAGUCCUAGGUAACUUUAGAGUGAGUAACUUCAGAAUUUUCCUUGAAUAUGUCAAUAAUAUACAAAAAUUAUGUCAACACCUCGAUUAAAAGAUUGUUUUGCUUGUAUUUUCCUCCUGAGCUGAUCUGAGAAAUUUUGUUCUCAAGUCAAACAAUUAGAGACUUUAGCUCAAGAGAAAUGUCACCCCCUGGCAUUGUAGCCUGCGGGAUGUCCUCUAUAUUUUACCAUAGUAACCAUGUCGCCCCUCAAGUGAAGUAGAAUUUAAUUCAAUAAUGAAAUUGAACUACCCAGUAGAGGAAAUUUCUAGUUUUUUUGUAUAAUUUCCACCUUAGCUUGCUCUUAGUAACCCCCCUCAGUCUCAUUAAAUAGUCGGAAAUGUAUAUUCUUAUGAAGACAUGAUCACGUUCUUCAAAUUUUGCAAUCCAACACUGUUUCUAGACAAAUAUACAAUCUGUCGGUUUGUAAUUGAGUAAAUAUGACAUUCACAAAAUAUAUCAAGGAGAACACACCUUGGUUCUGAAAGUGAAUGAUAAAUUAGUUAGGUAACAUAUGUGAAUGGUGCAAGUGCAGGUAUGGCCACCAAUUAACAUGAAGAAGUUCGAGACACUCUCAUACCUUCCUCCUCUCACCACCGAACAAUUGGCAAAGGAGGUCGACUACCUUCUCCGUUCCGGAUGGGUUCCUUGUCUGGAAUUCGAGUUGGAGGUAAGCACUUUCUUCCUACACAUUUUUCAUGUUCUCUGUUACAUGUUUCUUGACAUUGCUGAUGACAAUUGUGUGUUAAACCAAUAUGCAGCACGGUUU